This 254-nucleotide ribosomal RNA is filed under the name uncultured bacterium. Its description in RNAcentral is "partial 16S ribosomal RNA". It matches the Rfam family "Bacterial small subunit ribosomal RNA", at positions 524 to 776 of the family's 1533-position model. The record is from RNAcentral.
UACGGAGGGGGCUAGCGUUAUUCGGAAUUAUUGGGCGUAAAGGGCGUGUAGGCGGCUUCGUAAGUCUCCUUGUGAAAGCCCUCGGCUCAACCGAGGAACUGCAUGGGAAACUGCGGAGCUUGAGUCCGGGAGAGGAGAGCGGAAUUCCCAGUGUAGCGGUGAAAUGCGUAGAUAUUGGGAGGAACACCGGUGGCGAAGGCGGCUCUCUGGACCGGUACUGACGCUGAGACGCGAAAGCUAGGGGAGCAAACGGG